GUGGUGGCUCAGUGGUUAAGGCUUUGGGCUACUACUCAUCAGAAGGUUAUAAGUUCAAAUCCUACCUUGAACA
Molecule: non-coding RNA, 73 nt
Organism: Pangasius djambal
Lineage: Eukaryota; Metazoa; Chordata; Actinopteri; Siluriformes; Pangasiidae
Source: the annotation of a GenBank genome assembly